RNAcentral lists this ribosomal RNA (394 nucleotides) under uncultured bacterium. RNAcentral describes it as "bacterial SSU rRNA". It matches the Rfam family "Bacterial small subunit ribosomal RNA", at positions 28 to 423 of the family's 1533-position model. The record is from RNAcentral.
GACGAACGCUGGCGGCGUGCUUAACACAUGCAAGUCGAGCGGUAAGGCCCUUCCGGGGGUACACGAGCGGCGAACGGGUGAGUAACACGUGGGUGACCUGCCCUCAGCUCUGGGAUAAGCCUGGGAAACUGGGUCUAAUACCGGAUAUGACUCCAUGACGCAUGUUGUGGGGUGGAAAGCCUUGUGCGGCUGAGGAUGGGCCCGCGGCCUAUCAGCUUGUUGGUGGGGNGAUGGCCUACCAAGGCGACGACGGGUAGCCGGCCUGAGAGGGCGACCGGCCACACUGGGACUGAGACACGGCCCAGACUCCUACGGGAGGCAGCAGUGGGGAAUCUUGCGCAAUGGGCGAAAGCCUGACGCAGCGACGCCGCGUGAGGGAUGACGGCCUCGGUGU